Molecule: ribosomal RNA, 814 nt
Filed under: Halorubrum sp. ADMK90
Lineage: Archaea; Methanobacteriati; Methanobacteriota; Halobacteria; Halobacteriales; Haloferacaceae
Description: bacterial SSU rRNA
Rfam family: Archaeal small subunit ribosomal RNA
Source: RNAcentral
UGCUAGUCGCACGAGUUCAGACUCGUGGCGAAUAGCUCAGUAACACGUGGCCAAACUACCCUUCGGAACACAAUACCCUCGGGAAACUGAGGCUAAUAGUGUAUACCAUACCACCACUGGAAUGAGUGGUAUGCCAAACGCUCCGGCGCCGAAGGAUGUGGCUGCGGCCGAUUAGGUAGACGGUGGGGUAACGGCCCACCGUGCCAAUAAUCGGUAUGGGUCAUGAGAGUGAGAACCCAGAGACGGAAUCUGAGACAAGAUUCCGGGCCCUACGGGGCGCAGCAGGCGCGAAACCUUUACACUGCACGACAGUGCGAUAGGGGGAUCCCAAGUGCACAGGCAUAGCGCCUGUGCUUUUCGGUACCGUAAGGUGGUACCAGAAUAAGGGCUGGGCAAGACCGGUGCCAGCCGCCGCGGUAAUACCGGCAGCCCAAGUGAUGGCCGAUCUUAUUGGGCCUAAAGCGUCCGUAGCUGGCCGCGCAAGUCCAUCGGGAAAUCCACCUGCUCAACAGGUGGGCGCCCGGUAGAAACUGCGUGGCUUGGGACCGGAAGGCGCGACGGGUACGUCCGGGGUAGGAGUGAAAUCCCGUAAUCCUGGACGGACCGCCGAUGGCGAAAGCACGUCGCGAGGACGGAUCCGACAGUGAGGGACGAAAGCCAGGGUCUCGAACCGGAUUAGAUACCCGGGUAGUCCUGGCCGUAAACAAUGUCUGCUAGGUGUGGCUCCCACUACGAGUGGGUGCUGUGCCGUAGGGAAGCCGCUAAGCAGACCGCCUGGGAAGUACGUCCGCAAGGAUGAAACUAAAGGAAUGGC